RNAcentral lists this transfer RNA (76 nucleotides) under Lysobacteraceae bacterium. RNAcentral describes it as "Xanthomonadaceae bacterium (aquatic metagenome) tRNA-Thr". It matches the Rfam family "tRNA". Rfam says of the family: Transfer RNA (tRNA) molecules are approximately 80 nucleotides in length. Their secondary structure includes four short double-helical elements and three loops (D, anti-codon, and T loops). Further hydrogen bonds mediate the characteristic L-shaped molecular structure. tRNAs have two regions of fundamental functional importance: the anti-codon, which is responsible for specific mRNA codon recognition, and the 3' end, to which the tRNAs corresponding amino acid is attached (by aminoacyl-tRNA synthetases). tRNAs cope with the degeneracy of the genetic code in two manners: having more than one tRNA (with a specific anti-codon) for a particular amino acid; and 'wobble' base-pairing, i.e. permitting non-standard base-pairing at the 3rd anti-codon position. Lineage: Bacteria; Pseudomonadati; Pseudomonadota; Gammaproteobacteria; Lysobacterales; Lysobacteraceae. RNAcentral also lists the same sequence under 3 other names. The record is from RNAcentral.
GCCGGUGUAGCUCAGUUGGUAGAGCGGCGCAUUCGUAAUGCGUAGGUCGGGGGUUCGAGUCCCUUCUCCGGCACCA